RNAcentral lists this ribosomal RNA (423 nucleotides) under uncultured bacterium. Its description in RNAcentral is "bacterial SSU rRNA". It matches the Rfam family "Bacterial small subunit ribosomal RNA", at positions 29 to 448 of the family's 1533-position model. The record is from RNAcentral.
AUUGAACGCUGGCGGCAUGCCUUACACAUGCAAGUCGAACGGCAGCACGGGAGCAAUCCUGGUGGCGAGUGGCGAACGGGUGAGUAAUAUAUCGGAACGUGCCCAGUAGUGGGGGAUAGCCCGGCGAAAGCCGGAUUAAUACCGCAUGAGACCUGAGGGUGGAAAGCGGGGGAGUCGCAAGACCUCGCGCUAUUGGAGCGGCCGAUAUCAGAUUAGCUAGUUGGUGGGGUAAAGGGCCUACCAAGGCAACGAUCUGUAGUUGGUCUGAGAGGACGACCAGCCACACUGGGACUGAGACACGGCCCAGACUCCUACGGGAGGCAGCAGUGGGGAAUUUUGGACAAUGGGCGCAAGCCUGAUCCAGCAAUGCCGCGUGCAGGAAGAAGGCCUCGGUUGGUUAAACGUAGCUUUGUUCAGGGAAGG